GGACUGAAUCAUGGUGGGGAAUUAAUGUGAAAUUCAUUAGCUGUUCCUGCAACGGUUAAAGUCCGAGUGCCACCCAGUAAAGUCCGGUGUUGAACGAAGGCCAGGAAAAGUCUAGUUCUGCAAUUAAAGU
This 130-nucleotide non-coding RNA is filed under the name unclassified sequences. The record is from RNAcentral.